UUCUGCCUCUGUUAGAGGCUAUGUAUAAGUUAUGAUUGAUAUUUGCAUAUGUUUAUACGAAUAAAAUGUACACAAUUGAUGUUCUGAGUACAUUACGUUUUACCUGCUGAUGUUAUGUUAAUUCCCGUGCGCAGACUUUUAUUAUGACAUGGUUCUGUGAGCAGGGCACGUUGGGAAACGGGAAGUAGCGAUCGCAAGGCGCAGCGAGCUCUCUACAAGCGUUAUAUUGUAUCUGAUAAUCCUUCUUCCAAACCCUGUCGGAAGCAAUGGCUUUUACUCAGUUCAAUGGCUAUACGCCCUUUUCACAUGACGUCACGUAUCUUCCGUUCUGCCGCUAAGCACUACAGUUCAUAAGUUGGCGGUAAUGCACCUAUAAGCUGAUUUGCCAACCGCCAGUAAAACUCAAGAAGUUACUUCCGCUAGCGUCUCAGAAUGGAGUUUACCAAGUGGCUUGCACAUCUGCCACAAAUACGUCUAGAUGAUGUACAACGUCUUGCAGACAAAUUUUUGCUAAGGACAAGAUCAAAGCUAGAGAAAGGAUACAAAUUCUUCAUUGAACAGUACCUGUUUGAUUAUGAAGCGCGACGGCAAAACGGAAGUUCUUCUUCUGCUUCUUCUUCUUGUUUGUUUCAAGACGGAUGUUAUGAUACACUGCUUUGCAAAAAGGCGGAAGUUAAGUGACGUCAUUGUGAAAAGGGGUGUAUUGAGUUUGUCUAUGUAAACUAUACAUUGGAUCAUUAAAGGAGCAAGACGCUCAUAUCCUGGCUCUUGUACAGAGUUUGGCUUGCUGUUUAUUUAUAUUACACGCUCAAAGAAGCAAAACAUAUAAAGAGAACAGUACACCCUCUGUAUUUUGUUGCUUCCCCUGAGCUGGAAUGUAAAGUUUGUCAUAAUUUUCAGUCUUAUAUGCUGUGAAAAAUGAAUCGUAUGAACAGGUCAGGCCACCGGCACAGACGAGGAGGGAAACACAUCAUACAAUCACAAUUGUGCAUGUAAAAUGGCAGGUACUAGAAACAUUUGGUUUAAUCUGAAGCAAUAAAACUGAUGUCAACAUGCAGAAAUACAAAAAUGUAAAAAAAAGAGAAACUCGUGUCAACGUGCAGAAAUGAAUAUGUUGAAAUGUUAAGGACGCCUAAUUUUCAUAGUAAAAUGAUUCAGUGAAGCACAUUCAUGAUGUGUCUUUCAUCUUCUGUGUGAUAUACUGUAGACCCUGACAUGUAAACUAAGGUUAAUAGUCGGACUCUUCGGGGGGCUGGAACAAGAACAGAUGAAGAUGUGUACAGUAGCUCAACACGAGAUCCCACAGCUGUCCAGUUUGAGGAGAAGGAAAAGGAAUCCUGGGAAACUGACGGUCAGAUCUGGCUCUGUGUAACGCAGGCUGAUCAGCUGCAGUAUGAAAUCGUCCACCUUUAUGCCUAGACCAG
Long non-coding RNA from Triplophysa rosa, 1424 nucleotides. RefSeq lists it as uncharacterized. The transcript is spliced from 4 exons. The record is from RefSeq and is a predicted model, not a curated record. Lineage: Eukaryota; Metazoa; Chordata; Actinopteri; Cypriniformes; Nemacheilidae.